RNAcentral lists this unclassified non-coding RNA (309 nucleotides) under plant metagenome. Its description in RNAcentral is "partial contains 5.8S ribosomal RNA, internal transcribed spacer 2, and large subunit ribosomal RNA". The stretch from base 1 to 105 matches the Rfam family "5.8S ribosomal RNA", at positions 50 to 154 of the family's 154-position model. The record is from RNAcentral.
GAAAUGCGAUAAGUAGUGUGAAUUGCAGAAUUCAGUGAAUCAUCGAAUCUUUGAACGCACAUUGCACCCCUUGGUAUUCCAUGGGGCAUGCCUGUUCGAGCGUCAUUUGUACCCUCAAGCUCUGGUUGGUGUUGGGUGUUUGUCCCGUCUCCGCGCGUGGACUCGCCCCAAAGUGAUUGGCAGCCGGCGUACUGGUCCCGGAGCGCAGCACAUGUCGCGCAAACGAGUGCCUUGGUACGGCGGCGUCCAUAAGCCCCUCUCUCACGCUCUUGACCUCGGAUCAGGUAGGGAUACCCGCUGAACUUAAGC